RNAcentral lists this transfer RNA (76 nucleotides) under Candidatus Melainabacteria bacterium HGW-Melainabacteria-1. RNAcentral describes it as "tRNA-His". It matches the Rfam family "tRNA". Rfam says of the family: Transfer RNA (tRNA) molecules are approximately 80 nucleotides in length. Their secondary structure includes four short double-helical elements and three loops (D, anti-codon, and T loops). Further hydrogen bonds mediate the characteristic L-shaped molecular structure. tRNAs have two regions of fundamental functional importance: the anti-codon, which is responsible for specific mRNA codon recognition, and the 3' end, to which the tRNAs corresponding amino acid is attached (by aminoacyl-tRNA synthetases). tRNAs cope with the degeneracy of the genetic code in two manners: having more than one tRNA (with a specific anti-codon) for a particular amino acid; and 'wobble' base-pairing, i.e. permitting non-standard base-pairing at the 3rd anti-codon position. The record is from RNAcentral. Lineage: Bacteria; Bacillati; Candidatus Melainabacteria.
GUGGGUGUCGCCUAGUGGUCAUGGCAUCGGGUUGUGGUCCCGACAUUCGUGGGUUCGAAUCCCAUCAUCCACCCCU